GCUCAGUCAUGCGCAAUGACUUGGGAGCGAGCUGAGUUCAUAUUCACUGCUAAAGGGAACAAAUUUUAUUCAAGAUAUAUGAUAAAAGCAACCUAAAGAUUGAUUCUAUACAUCGUUUGACAUGUUUCUACAAACUGUAGUAUAACUUUUUUGACUUUUCGUCUGGACUAAGUAAGCAUGCGCAUUGUGGAUUUGGAUAGUGAACCUAACGCGUGAACAAAAUGGAUUAUUUGGACAUAUAAAUUAACUUUAUCGAACAUUUAUUGUGGAGCUGGGGUUCCUGGGAGUGCCUUCUGAUGAAGAUAAUCAAAGUUUCAGUUGGAGAACUAUCUCAGAAACAUCCUGAUGAGAACCAAGUACAGGAUACACCCUGCUACGAUGGAGUUCUUAGAAGUUAGUCAAAGUUCCUUUAUCCAGGACCUGGGACCAAAAGGAAUGUAAAACUGUCUUCACCUAAUUUCAACAUUGAAAAGAGUGUCUUCACCUUAAAUUUCAACAUUGAAAUAUGAAUGCUUACUUCCUUUUGCAAGUAUAACAUUUGGGGAUACAGUCAAUAAUGGUACAAUUACAGUCUUUUGUGGUAGUGUUUCACAAUGACUGUGUGCAUUUUUAUUAUGUGAGCUUUACAUACAAAGUGCAUUGAUUGAUGUCAUUCUCUGAGAUGUUGUUAUGAAGUUGUGUGUAUGUAUCUAAAGUGAAUGCCUGAUCCUGAAGAAGUCAGGAGGAAUUACAUUCCCUGUGUGCUACUGGUGUGGCUCCAACAGUGUGUGUGUGCAUUUAUGUAUGUGUGUAUGUCAGUGUGUGCACGUGUGUUUGUGUGUGUAUAUUUGUGCGUGUGCAUUAUACUAUAGAUGGUUGGUGGUGAAGGACUAAUUUGUCUUCUAUAUGCGGCCAGAGGAUGGCCAAGUGGGAACGGUCAUUCUGUAUGACAUGGGCUUCAACAUCAUUAUUGGCACCCAGUACACAGGUGUCUGACAUGGAGUCGCCAUCGAGAACCUCUGCACGCUCGUUCUAAAGACAAA
This 1022-nucleotide long non-coding RNA is filed under the name Salmo salar (Atlantic salmon). Its description in RNAcentral is "lncRNA (ENSSSAG00000084656.1)". The record is from RNAcentral. Lineage: Eukaryota; Metazoa; Chordata; Actinopteri; Salmoniformes; Salmonidae.